Cyclopterus lumpus (lumpfish) is the source of this 831-nucleotide long non-coding RNA. RefSeq lists it as uncharacterized. Lineage: Eukaryota; Metazoa; Chordata; Actinopteri; Perciformes; Cyclopteridae. The record is from RefSeq and is a predicted model, not a curated record. The transcript is spliced from 3 exons.
ACUACAGCUAGAACAUACCUGCAGACUUAAAUCUGGGCACCUGGUAACAAAUAAAAUAGACGUCCGCACCCCCAUCGAUGACGUGUUGAGCUUUAUUUGAGAUUCCGAUCCAACAGAUCCUCAUCAGAGCAAUCAGCAUUGCAAUGCCGUGCAGGCAGUAGAGCAUGGAGUACUGCGAGGUCAAUGGAAGACACACUUACUACCAAACAAAGAAUAUAGAAGAAAUACAACCAGGCAGCACCUUAUAGAACAACAUCGACAAAUCUCUACAAAAGUCCACCUCACUGCCCACAUCAGCCACCGGGAAGGAAUAUGUAUGUAUGUACCACAAUCUGCAAUAUCAUCAGUAAUUAUUGUCAUUAUCAAAGCACGUCGUCAGGUCAAGAAGAAAUAAAUACAUAUAUAACAAUAUGAUAACACUGGUUGUUGGUGUACCCCCCCCCUCUCCCCCUGGGGUUAGACGCCCAGCUUGUUGGCGAUGGUCAUGACCACUUUGAGGAUGGGCAUGAAGGCGGAGAUCUCGCUGAAGUUGCUGCUGCUGACCACCUGGGUGUGGACCUCCAGACCCCGCGGGUAGUUCUGGCUCGCCACACAGCGGCUGAUCUCGUGGAGCCCGUUCAGAAUGUUGUGAGAGAGCUGAGAGAUCGGCAGGGAAACAUUACGACAUGUUACGACGUGCCACCGUAAGCCUUUAUAAAGUCAGAAGAUUUACAGUGACCGUGAAGACAUCUUCAAAUGACUAGUUUUGAAGCAUUUCUGCUGGAUCAAUUGUUUCCAUAGUCUGCUUUUGUUAUUUUAAUGAAUGAAUCUGUGAAUAAAAGACCUAUACAA